CUCGUAGGCGGUUCGUCGCGUCCGGUGUGAAAGUCCAUCGCUUAACGGUGGAUCCGCGCCGGGUACGGGCGGGCUGGAGUGCGGUAGGGGAGACUGGAAUUCCCGGUGUAACGGUGGAAUGUGUAGAUAUCGGGAAGAACACCAAUGGCGAAGGCAGGUCUCUGGGCCGUUACUGACGCUGAGGAGCGAAAGCGUGGGGAGCGAACA
RNAcentral lists this ribosomal RNA (207 nucleotides) under uncultured bacterium. RNAcentral's name for it is "partial 16S ribosomal RNA". It matches the Rfam family "Bacterial small subunit ribosomal RNA", at positions 568 to 774 of the family's 1533-position model. The record is from RNAcentral.